Molecule: long non-coding RNA, 5213 nt
Organism: Pseudopipra pipra
Lineage: Eukaryota; Metazoa; Chordata; Aves; Passeriformes; Pipridae
Exons: 2
Source: RefSeq, a predicted model, not a curated record
CUUCCUGAAAGCAAAAACAUAAUUAAGUUUCUAAGCUGACAAAUAAUUCUUGAGAUUUAUUUAUUUGUUCCCUGAAAAAAUUCCGAACCAGUUUCUCGGCGGUUUUUUUUCACUCUCACGAAAGGCUACGAAACUUGGGCAACCACGACUACUUUGCUCGUUCAUCUUGUAGUGAUUUUGCUUAGUGUCCCCUGCCAGUGGCCUAACCUGUGCAGAAACUGCCCUAGCUGUAAUUAAUUUCGGGCACAACAGUGUUAAUAUUUAGCUGACCUUUUGGUGAAUUUACUUUAAGUGACUGAAACUUCAUGUCCUGUAUUUAUAUUCUACUGCUAGUAAUCUGUACACAUCUGUAAUCGCUUAAUGGAGCUUGCACACUAAGUGCUUGGGAAGAUGAAGGGGCUGCUUAAAAUGCUGUUCCCACAGCACACAGAGGAGCCCAUCUGCCUGAGUGACAUCUGGCCUGGAGCGUUGUUGUAACUCUUUCCUCCCACCCCACCCAUGAUUUGGGUUCUAGAAGCUCCCAGCCACUGGCUGUGACUGCUGGCAAGAAGCUUAUUGGGCUGCAGCUCUGCCUUUGUCCCAUUGCCAGCCUGGGAAACCUUCAUCCUGGGAACUGCCCCUCUGCCUGCCCCCAGUGCCAUCCCUGCCUGGGGGGACCUUUGAUAUGACUGACAGAGCACUGCCAGGGAGCCCUCAAAGGCAGCCCCUUGCCUGGCCUUCUCUGCAGGCUGGGAGAUGGCUUUCAAAGAAGCUCAGCUGAUCCCAGCAUUAUUUAUGCAAAAUAGGAGAUACCUCCAUGUAACUGCUCACAGAUGUAAGGGAUUUGCAAGUCGGGUGUAAAAUUUUGCUGUGUCACAGGUUCUUAGCUGCAAAAUGGCAACAAUAACAUUUCCUCUUCCUCUCAUUUGCUUGCCAAUGCUGUUUAGUGCAUAAGAGCUGGGUCCUGUAGUGGUUACUGGUUGCCUGGCACGUGCACUGGAAUUCCCAGUCCUGUGUUAAGUUCCUGCACUGGCUCUGUGCCACUGGAGAGCUGGCAGUGUUGGAAUGGGAAGAUCAAGGAAAUGCCAGCGAGGAGCACGUCUUAAAGGUGUCAUAAGGGCAUGUUAGGGACUGGCACCUCUCUUAGACAUGGAGGCACAUAAAGUAGGGUAUUUACUCCAGAGAAAACGAGUUCACUCAAAGGUCUCCUUUCAAAUACUGUUAAAGACAGCAGGUCUCCCUAAUGGCUCCUCACUCAGCUAGAAAAGUCCCGCAGGAAGAAGUUCAAGCUUGUGUCAUCUGCAGCCCAAAAAGGGCUCAGAUUCCUGCUGACAGCCUGUCACAGUGACUGGCUCUCCCUUCAUCUCUCACUGAAGCUGAGGCAGUGUGGGAGCAAGGGCAGGCUCCUGGAAGGCGUGGGCACUGUAUCAGAUUGGAUUAAUAUGGAACCUACAUUAACCCCCUUCCCCCACACCUCUAUCUGCCUGAUACCUGGGAAACUUUGUGACAUCACCCCCACCAAAAAAAAAACACAGCAGAAAACACGAGGUUCUCUUUGGAGAAGUCACCAGGGAAUCCCAGGUUCUGACCCAAGUUCCAAGGCCAUCUUUUACAGUUUACCCAGUGACAGCACUGUGUAGAACAGUCCUGGAAGCAGGGACCUGAGACCACAAAAGCCACUGCAGGCAAGUGCCAGCAAUCACUAACAUCUAAUUCAGGCAAAAAGAGCCACCACGCAGCUUCCCAAGCUAAUGCAAAACAAGCUGGGUCCAAGUAGGUCACCUACAGGGCAGUAGGAGGGGGAUGUUUAGAGCACUGUCAGGUUGAGGAAUGCCUUGUACCAAAUUUCCCAUUUCCUCAGGGAAUUAGAACUACUGCAAAGAAAAAAACCAAGUGGCAGUACCAGUGCUGGCUGCUUGAAAGAUGCUUCUAAACACAAGGGAAUUCUUUAACCAAAUCUGCCUGAAGGAUGCUGGGGAGCCCAGUUUAUUAGUCCUGUCCUUUGUGGGUCACCUGGUAACAUGUGAACUCCUGAAACACACAUUUAUACUGCUCCUGACAUACAGACUUUCAGGCUAAGCUGGCAUUUGGACAAUGUUUUAAGCAUCUCAUUAUUUCCAAUUAUGGGCCCUUAUUUAUUUUCUGACUCUGUACAGAAGCUCGGGGUUGGUGGUGCAGUUUGUCACAAUGUCACAGCUAGGUCAGAAGCUCAGCAGAGACCUUCAGGCACUGCAACAAUAUAAAAUGGUAAAUAAGAAUUUUCAGCUCAAAAUUAUUAGGAAAGGGAACAAGUAGGGAAAAGCUUACAAAACUUGCUUCUCUGCCACCUGGGAGUUUCUGAGCUAUGAAUCACUAGGUAAUUCAGGAACAUGUUCAGGCUGAAAGUACUCUGGAGCUUGCACAAGGCCACUGUUCCAGGUGCCUAACACCUUACAUUCCAAAGCCCAGGGAGCAAUUGUAGCUGGACCAUGACCAAAUGCUUUACACAGGUCAGGCAACCCAGCCAGGCUAGUUUUGGGUUAGUUUUGGGUUAGUUUUCUUUUUGCUUACACACACUUACUUACACUGUAAUUUAGUGUUUUCAACAAAUAGGAGAAUAACUGAAUAUAAAUAAACCAGCUUAAAAGCUAAACAAUCAAAUAAAGAUUAAAAAAUUUAUUCAAGUACCACUUUGGCCUCUUUAAAUACCAUGUCCGUAGGACAGCAACAUAGAAAUGGGGUUAUAGUGCCUUGCCUUUUCAUAAAAGAUCUGAGCAAGAGUCCAACAAAAGAAUACUGCUUUUAUACCUAAUCAACUGUAAUGAAAGAAUAUGAAACACUGUCAUGUGCUUAUUAGGGGAAAUUAUCAGAUAUUCUUUUAUAUGAUGAACUAACACACAGCGCUGAUAAUUCUGUAGUGCACACUAAAUUACAAUUAAAGGCCUUUCUGCUCCACCAAAAUCUCAUUUAUAAUCUCUAUGGAAAUACUCUUCCUGCAGUUAUUUCAUUUAUGCUUCUUUUAUCUAAUUACUAUAAUAUUGGUUCUGAAUCAUAUUUUCUUAAUGUACCCUUAUUCAAUUAUAAAGUUAUUUUCAAGUAUAGUUACUUUAUAAUGCCAAGUAUAUCGCUCUGCAGCCUUUGUCUUUCACCACACUGUUUAACUGGCAAUGUUUUCUGAAGGUCUCUCUCCAUUUCAAAAUCAGCUUUUUUUCUGAAAAGCACAAUACAUCCAAUUACCUUUUUUCUCAUCAUUUUCAAGACAGAAAUGAAUAGUCUGAUUAUUGCAACCUUGCAAUCAUGCUUCUCUCUCCCUCCUUUGUUUUUUGUAGGCACUAAUGCCAAGGGCUCAGCAGAAACCUCCCAGGGAAGAGCAGCAUUCUGGGCUAUACAAUGUUCUGCUCCUGCCCCCACAGCCACGUAAAUUUUCUCCCCUUAUGAAUUCCUUCCUAUCCGUGUUUCUCUUCAUCUUCCCUCUCUUCUCUGCUGCUUAUUCAUUUAUUUUCAUCUCCCGUUUUAAUCUUCUCAGUCCUUCAAGUAUGCUGCCUGUGCCCUCCAAAGGAGUGGUUCACACACACAGCAGAUCCUGCAGUUUAUUAAAAUCAACAGGGCCUGUUCCCGAGGCUGAAUUUUGCUGGCAUCUGAGUGCCCUUGACUCACACUGGGAAUUCAGGGUGCCCAUGACUGAGUCCAGUAUGAACUUGUUACAAUGUCAUUAAUGGCUCAAGUGCCCUGAGAAUACUUCAGGAGCCAAGUCUGGUGCCCGUGCAGAAAAAGAAAUGCUUUGAUCACACAUUCACUACAGGCCUCUGGCUCUGGAUGGCUGAUGCAGAACCAGAAAGAGCAGCUUGCCUGAAAUGGCACAGCACGUUUCAGAAUAAGAACAGGAGCCUGGCAGUGCCAGGGAGGGAAUGGGACCCUGGCUCCCUGUGGCAGAACUGGCCAGGCUGAAGCAGAGGAGGUGAACUGUUCCCCAGAAAUGGGGACUGCUCCAGAUCCUGCACUGAAAGCCCAGUCCAGGAAAGGAGGGUUCCCUGUGUUACAGUGCAAUUACAGCUUUGUUGGCUUUCAUGCCUUUGUAAAUACUGAGCAUAACGAUAACCCUCUACACUUUUCUUGAAGGGUUCAAAUGCUUAAUUCACCUUCUUACUUCACUGUACUCUGGAAAAGACUGAAACACAUCACAACUGGCAGGGCACCUCCCCUGUCUCUUCCUUUUUCUUCUGACAGAGACCCGAACACACCAAUUUGAGGAUGAAGAGAAAAGGACCUUGACUGUGAUCCUAUUUGACGUGUCAUACCACAUUACGACUCACGAGGCAGAGGAUUUAAUGGGUGUGAUUGUCCCACUGAGCAGCUCUGAAAUGGCUGUAUAAUAUAAACCAGACUACUUUCCUCCUGUAUAACACCCCCCGGCCACACCCACGGUAAGUUCUCACCUGUCCUUCCCGGUUUCCCGUUUGAACAGGUCAUCAAACUGGAGCAUCUUGUGGCGAGAAAUCAUGUACACUUUUAACCGUGGCAGUAUCUGGUUCAUCAGCUGCAGGUUGUUGUACACCAGGCCCUUGCCGUCCCUGCGCAUGUAGCUGCUCGGCCCCCAGAAGAUGAACACGGCGCCGUGGCUCAUGUUCAAGAGUUCGUGGCGGUUCCGCAGGAUCCUCUGGAUGCUGGAGUGGGCGAUGACCCGCAGGCUCGUUUUGUUCCCGACGUCUCUGCCGUAGCCCCGGGUGGGCGCGUCGUUCAUCCGGAUCACGCACUCGGCCUCGUCGAUCCUGUCGCCCUGUUUGCCGCCCAGGAGGUGCCCGGAGCUGGUCACCAAGGCACAGCUCUUGCAGUGCAUCUUUAACGGCUGCAGAGACACACGGAGCUCAGGAUUAGCUGCAGGCAUCUUCCUUUUCACUGCAUUGCUGUAUUUUAUGCAGAAAUGGCACAUUUUACAGCAAAAGUCGUAAGGGAAUUUACAUAAAUCACUCCCAGCACUCUUCCCAACUAGCUGGGGAUGCGUUACCUGGAUGUUUUGUAGAUGGGGAAAAUGUGGUAUAGGUGUAUUAGCCUUUAACAUUCCUCUGUGGAGUUGGGCCCAUUGUGUAAAUCCUCCUUUCCACUGUCUACACAGAAAUGACAACAGCUUCUAUACUGCUCCCAGCUGCUUAGGACUGCACUUCUUCCACCUGCCAUAAACAAGCUACAAUUGGAGUAUUUUUUAUUCUUCCUCUUCCACUUUUUUUCAGGAAAUAAUAAACCCUAAGUCCUCCUAA